This 462-nucleotide ribosomal RNA is filed under the name uncultured bacterium. RNAcentral's name for it is "bacterial SSU rRNA". It matches the Rfam family "Bacterial small subunit ribosomal RNA", at positions 917 to 1382 of the family's 1533-position model. The record is from RNAcentral.
GGGCCCGCACAAGCAGUGGAGUAUGUGGUUUAAUUCGAAGCAACGCGAAGAACCUUACCAGGGCUUGACAUGCAGGUGAAUAUAUAAGAGAUUAUAUAGUCUUUCGGGACACCUGUGCAGGUGGUGCAUGGUUGUCGUCAGCUCGUGUCGUGAGAUGUUGGGUUAAGUCCCGCAACGAGCGCAACCCCUGUUGUUAGUUGCCAUCAUUAAGUUGGGCACUCUAACGAGACUGCCGGUGACAAAUCGGAGGAAGGUGGGGACGACGUCAAAUCAUCAUGCCCCUUAUGUCCUGGGCUACACACGUACUACAAUGGCUAUAACAGCAGGGAGCUAAGGAGUAAUCCGGAGCGAAUCCUGAAAAAUAGUCCCAGUUCGGAUUGUGGGCUGCAACCCGCCCACAUGAAGUCGGAAUUGCUAGUAAUGGCAGGUCAGCAUACUGCCGUGAAUACGUUCCCGGGCCUU